RNAcentral lists this ribosomal RNA (382 nucleotides) under uncultured eukaryote. RNAcentral describes it as "partial 18S ribosomal RNA". It matches the Rfam family "Eukaryotic small subunit ribosomal RNA", at positions 592 to 975 of the family's 1831-position model. The record is from RNAcentral.
CAAUAGCGUAUAUUAAAGUUGUUGCAGUUAAAAAGCUCGUAGUUGGAUUUCUGGCAGGAGCGACCGGUCACACACUCUGUGCGUGAACUUGCGUUGUCUCUGGCCAUCCUUGGGAAGAUCCUGUUUGGCAUUAAGUUGUCGGGCAGGGGAUACCCAUCGUUUACUGUGAAAAAAUUAGAGUGUUUAAAGCAGGCUUAUGCCGUUGAAUAUAUUAGCAUGGAAUAAUAAGAUAGGACUUCGGAACUAUUUUGUUGGUUUGCGUUACGAAGUAAUGAUUAAUAGGGACAGUUGGGGGUAUUCGUAUUUCGUUGUCAGAGGUGAAAUUCUUGGAUUUCCGAAAGACGAACUACUGCGAANGNAUUUACNAAGGAUGUUUNCAUUA